Molecule: ribosomal RNA, 154 nt
Filed under: uncultured bacterium
Lineage: Bacteria
Description: partial 16S ribosomal RNA
Rfam family: Bacterial small subunit ribosomal RNA
Source: RNAcentral
UGGGGAAUAUUGGACAAUGGGCGCAAGCCUGAUCCAGCCAUGCCGCGUGAGUGACGAAGGCCUUAGGGUUGUAAAGCUCUUUUGUCCGGAACGCGGUUACGGACAAUACCCGUGACUACUGACGGUACCGGAGUAAGAAGCACCGGCUAACUAC